Molecule: long non-coding RNA, 445 nt
Filed under: Triticum aestivum (bread wheat)
Lineage: Eukaryota; Viridiplantae; Streptophyta; Magnoliopsida; Poales; Poaceae
Description: long non-coding RNA (TAES_LNC012559)
Source: RNAcentral
AUUGGUGGUCGUGUAAGCUUUGCUUUCUCAAGAGCAGAUUGUUCCACAGGUUAUGUUCUUUCCCAUUGCCUAUACUUACAGUUUCAAUGUUUUGCCAUCAUAUCUAAAGCUUGCACAAUAAUUUGCAGGACAGGCAACUUAGAGACAAAGCAUGAGAUGUGAUGAUCUGAAUAUAUGGCAGUAUGCAUCACAUGAUGUGGAGGACGGGGGUCAUCCUCCUUGAAGAACAAAUGAUGCUCUCAAUGCAGAGCAACAUUGGGGGUAGAAGAGCAGUUACUUUCUCAGCUACAGAGAAGCAUCAAAGUAGUACUACUUCCUUUGUUUCUCAAGCACCAAGCGAUCCUGAUACAACAAAAGAAAAAAGAUUCUCUCUAGCACUAGCGAAAGAGAAAAACACACACACUGUACAUGCUCUUGUUGGGCCUCACAACAUUAGAAUUCACGG